Molecule: ribosomal RNA, 490 nt
Filed under: uncultured bacterium
Lineage: Bacteria
Description: bacterial SSU rRNA
Rfam family: Bacterial small subunit ribosomal RNA
Source: RNAcentral
UGGCGGCGCGUUUAAGCAUGCAAGUCGAGCGGCAAGCAGUAGCAAUACUGCCUAGAGCGGCGGACGGGUGAGUAACACGUGGAUAAUCUGCCUUUGGUUGGGAUAUACCAUGGAAACAUGGAGUAAUACCGAAUAAGAUACAGCUUCACAUGAAGUUUUGUGAAAGUGGCUUCGGCCACGCCGAAAGAUGAGUCCGCGGCCCAUUAGCUAGACGGCAGGGUAAAGGCCUACCGUGGCAAUGAUGGGUAGCCGGCCUGAGAGGGUGGUCGGCCACAUUGGAACUGAGACACGGUCCAGACUCCUACGGGAGGCAGCAGCUAAGAAUCUUCCACAAUGGACGAAAGUCUGAUGGAGCGACGCCGCCGUGAACGAUUGAAGGCCGUAAGGUUGUAAAGUUCUUUUCUACUGGAGGAAUAAGCUUUUGAGGGAAUGCGAGAGUGAUGACGUUAAAGUAGGAAUAAGCCCCGGCUAACUACGUGCCAGCCGCCGC